UUUGCCACUGCCUAAACAUCCCGGUUUCUUCACUGAAAGGAAAGUUAAAGAUAUUGAUCAAUUUUCUUGGAGUACACAAACACCAAGUUCUAUAAACGAAAUUACCAUCACGCAGUUGAAUGCUCGAUAGAAGCAUGUCCGCUGACCAGAGUCAGGAUUUUCACUAAGGGUUUCAAAAUAUGAAAAAAGCAAUACACGAAGUCAAGACGAUUCAGUAAGUACUAUAUAUACAAAAACAAUUAAUUGUAGACUUGUAAUUUUUUGGCGA
RNAcentral lists this unclassified non-coding RNA (268 nucleotides) under Hevea brasiliensis (rubber tree). The record is from RNAcentral. Lineage: Eukaryota; Viridiplantae; Streptophyta; Magnoliopsida; Malpighiales; Euphorbiaceae.